GGUUCCUUAGCCAAGCGGUAAGGUCGGGCUCUGCAAAAGCGGGAUCACUGGUUCAAAUCCAGUAGGAACCU
RNAcentral lists this transfer RNA (71 nucleotides) under Spirosoma telluris. It matches the Rfam family "tRNA". From Rfam's summary of the family: Transfer RNA (tRNA) molecules are approximately 80 nucleotides in length. Their secondary structure includes four short double-helical elements and three loops (D, anti-codon, and T loops). Lineage: Bacteria; Pseudomonadati; Bacteroidota; Cytophagia; Cytophagales; Cytophagaceae. The record is from Rfam by way of RNAcentral.